Molecule: ribosomal RNA, 316 nt
Filed under: uncultured bacterium
Lineage: Bacteria
Description: bacterial SSU rRNA
Rfam family: Bacterial small subunit ribosomal RNA
Source: RNAcentral
AAUCAACGCUGGCGGCGUGCCUAACACAUGCAAGUCGAACGCGAAAGCCCUUUCGGGGGUAAGUAGAGUGGCGUCCGGGUGAGUAACACGUAGGUAAUCUGCCUUCGGGUGGGGAAUAACCAGUCGAAAGAUUGGCUAAUACCGCAUAAUGCAGCGGCACCUAAUGGUGAUUAGUUGUUAAAGCGGGGGAUCGUAAGACCUCGCGCCUGAAGAGGAGCCUGCGGCAGAUUAGCUAGNGGUGAGGUAAUGGCUCGCCAAGGCUUCGAUCUGUAGCUGGUCUGAGAGGACGGCCAGCCACACUGGCACUGACACACGG